Molecule: ribosomal RNA, 410 nt
Filed under: Blastocystis sp.
Lineage: Eukaryota; Bigyra; Opalinata; Blastocystidae
Description: SSU rRNA
Rfam family: Eukaryotic small subunit ribosomal RNA
Source: RNAcentral
GCCGCGGUAAUUCCAGCUCCAAUAGCGUAUAUUAACGUUGUUGCAGUUAAAAAGCUCGUAGUUGAAAUGAAGGGUAGUUGUGUAAUGAAUACAUUCGUGUAUUUUGUUAUUCUACUACCCUCCUUCUAAAUUCGAUAUAUGAGUAUUAAUUUACUUGUAUAUGGUUUUAGACGUUUACUGUGAGAAAAUUAGAGUGUUCAAAGCAGGCAUUUGCUUGAAUAUAUUAGCAUGGAAUAAUCAUGUAUGAUUUUCAUGAUGUAUUUGAUUGGUUUGGUUCAUGAGAAUAAGAUUAAAAGGGACAGUUGGGGGUAUUCAUAUUCAAUAGUCAGAGGUGAAAUUCUCGGAUUUAUGGAAGAUGAACAAGUGCGAAAGCAUUUACCAAGGAUGUUUUCAUUAAUCAAGGGCGAAAG